CGUGUCCCAUUCUUGUCCCGCGUGUCACUGAAACGUUCAUUUAAUAACCCCACCAACGAUCUUUCACUAAACCUAACUGUCCCAUUCUUGUGCAGCAUGCCAGUUAAACGUACGUCCUGCCCAGUG
Sander lucioperca (pikeperch) is the source of this 126-nucleotide long non-coding RNA. RefSeq lists it as uncharacterized. The record is from RefSeq and is a predicted model, not a curated record. The transcript is spliced from 3 exons. NCBI's taxonomy places the organism in Eukaryota, Metazoa, Chordata, Actinopteri, Perciformes, Percidae.